This is a small nucleolar RNA of Nymphaea colorata (pocket water lily), 80 nucleotides long. RefSeq annotates it as small nucleolar RNA U83. Lineage: Eukaryota; Viridiplantae; Streptophyta; Magnoliopsida; Nymphaeales; Nymphaeaceae. The transcript has a single exon. The record is from RefSeq and is a predicted model, not a curated record.
UUUCUAUGAUGAAAUAAGGGAUGUUUAUGAUGUCUGAAAACUUAGUGACGAUCUAAUCCUACUGCCUUCCUUCUGAGAAU